Molecule: ribosomal RNA, 482 nt
Filed under: uncultured bacterium
Lineage: Bacteria
Description: partial 16S ribosomal RNA
Rfam family: Bacterial small subunit ribosomal RNA
Source: RNAcentral
AUUGAACGCUGGCGGCAUGCCUUACACAUGCAAGUCGAACGGUAACGGGCCUUCGGGUGCCGACGAGUGGCGAACGGGUGAGUAAUACAUCGGAACGUGCCCGAUCGGGGGGGAUAACGAGGCGAAAGCUUUGCUAAUACCGCAUACGAUCUACGGAUGAAAGCAGGGGACCGCAAGGCCUUGCGCGGACGGAGCGGCCGAUGGCAGAUUAGGUAGUUGGUGGGAUAAAAGCUUACCAAGCCGACGAUCUGUAGCUGGUCUGAGAGGAUGAUCAGCCACACUGGGACUGAGACACGGCCCAGACUCCUACGGGAGGCAGCAGUGGGGAAUUUUGGACAAUGGGCGCAAGCCUGAUCCAGCCAUGCCGCGUGCAGGAUGAAGGCCUUCGGGUUGUAAACUGCUUUUGUACGGAACGAAAAGCCUUCUUUUAAUACAGGAGGGUCAUGACGGUACCGUAAGAAUAAGCACCGGCUAACUACGUG